RNAcentral lists this ribosomal RNA (497 nucleotides) under uncultured bacterium. RNAcentral's name for it is "partial 16S ribosomal RNA". It matches the Rfam family "Bacterial small subunit ribosomal RNA", at positions 28 to 507 of the family's 1533-position model. The record is from RNAcentral.
GAUGAACGCUGGCGGCGUGCCUAAUACAUGCAAGUCGAGCGAACGGACGAGAAGCUUGCUUCCUUGCUGUUAGCGGCGGACGGGUGAGUAACACGUGGAUAACCUACCUAUAAGACUGGGAUAACUUCGGAAAACCGGAGCUAAUACCGGAUAAUAUUUUGAACCGCAUGGUUCAAAAGUGAAAGACGGUCUUGCUGUCACUUAUAGAUGGAUCCGCGCUGCAUUAGCUAGUUGGUAAGGUAACGGCUUACCAAGGCAACGAUGCAUAGCCGACCUGAGAGGGUGAUCGGCCACACUGGAACUGAGACACGGUCCAGACUCCUACGGGAGGCAGCAGUAGGGAAUCUUCCGCAAUGGGCGAAAGCCUGACGGAGCAACGCCGCGUGAGUGAUGAAGGUCUUCGGAUCGUAAAACUCUGUUAUUAGGGAAGAACAUAUGUGUAAGUAACUGUGCACAUCUUGACGGUACCUAAUCAGAAAGCCACGGCUAACUACGUG